UACGGAAGGUACGGGCGUUAUCCGGAUUUAUUGGGUUUAAAGGGUGCGUAGGCGGGUUAUCAAGUCAGCGGUAAAAUCGUGGAGCUCAACCCCUUUAAGCCGUUGAAACUGGUGAUCUUGAGUGGGCGAGAAGUAUGCGGAAUGCGUGGUGUAGCGGUGAAAUGCAUAGAUAUCACGCAGAACUCCGAUUGCGAAGGCAGCAUACCGGCGCCCGACUGACGCUGAGGCACGAAAGCGUGGGUAUCAAACAGG
This 252-nucleotide ribosomal RNA is filed under the name uncultured Bacteroidales bacterium. RNAcentral describes it as "partial 16S ribosomal RNA". It matches the Rfam family "Bacterial small subunit ribosomal RNA", at positions 524 to 776 of the family's 1533-position model. Lineage: Bacteria; Pseudomonadati; Bacteroidota; Bacteroidia; Bacteroidales. The record is from RNAcentral.